RNAcentral lists this long non-coding RNA (1147 nucleotides) under Piliocolobus tephrosceles (Ugandan red Colobus). RNAcentral's name for it is "lncRNA (ENSPTEG00000012098.1)". The record is from RNAcentral. Lineage: Eukaryota; Metazoa; Chordata; Mammalia; Primates; Cercopithecidae.
UAUAUGUAUGUAUACAUGUUUGUAAACGUAUUUACCUAACACUGCUACAACUUGCGAGGGCAAUAUAAAUUAACUUUUUUUUUUUAUAUUUUUGUUUUUAUAUUUUUUGUAAAAAUAGAAUGCACAUAUAUCUUAUGUACAUAUAUAUAAUAUAUGUAUAAUAUAUAUAAAUGAUAAGACGAAGUAAACUAAAUUUAAUCACUCAGUUAGUGACUCGGAGAAAGUUACAAACAUUUAUUCGUCACAAAGAAAGGCACGAUAUAAGUAACAAUGAAGAACUAACUUUUUUGUCAAACGAAAUAAAACAUAACUUGCAUAAAUUAAAAUGUAUAGAACAGAAGAAAAUAAAAACUGAUCGCAUAGUAUACAAUAAAAUAUUAAAAGAUCUUUUACAACACAAACAUAAAUUUGUUGCGGAUGAGCUGAUUCUUUUUUUAUAUAUAUUAAUAUAUAAUGAUUUAUAUUACUUAGACGUAUGUAACAAUUUUUAUUCUUAUUUUUAUCACAAUUAUCUUUUCUCAUAUAAGUAUUUUAAUAAUAUAAAUGUUAACAGUAUUAUUCACAUUAUUUAUUCAUACUACUUAUAUGAAAAUUAUAAUUUUUUUCGAUUAAAUAAUGAUAUUUUUAACAUUUACACCUCAAAUGAUAAUUUUUACAAAAAUAAACAAGACCAGCAUGAUGAUAAGAUCAAGAAUAAAAGAGGGGAAAACUAUUCCACUAAAAACCGUACACUUAAUGACAUGAUAGAAAAUAUUUAUGAUUCAAAUAUAUGGAAUACAAAUAAUAUUAUUGAUAGUAUUGACUCAAAACAAACAGUAGAUACGCAUAACAUAAGCAAUAAAAACAAUGAAAAAAUUGAAAAAGUUGAAAAAAUUGAAAAAAGUGGGCAAAGUGAAAAAAGUUAUAUUAAUAAAAACAACAAAUAUAAUAAUUAUUAUAAUAAUUAUGCUUAUGGUUGUUUUCAUAUUUACAAUCAUUUCUCUCCUUUCAUUUCUCUUAAUAUAGAUUAUAUAAAUAAAAAUCAUUUGAUAAAAAUUCUGUUAGUUCUUUCGCAAUUUGUUUAUAAUAAGACUAUUGUGGAGUAUAUUAACAAAAAUGUAGUGGAAACAGCGGUUAAUGCUCAGAGUGAAAAUGUUCAGAGUGAAAA